Long non-coding RNA from Balaenoptera musculus (blue whale), 894 nucleotides. RefSeq lists it as uncharacterized. The record is from RefSeq and is a predicted model, not a curated record. The transcript is spliced from 4 exons. NCBI's taxonomy places the organism in Eukaryota, Metazoa, Chordata, Mammalia, Artiodactyla, Balaenopteridae.
UACCCAGAAACGCCCUCGCCGUGCGACCGCACCCAGUGUUGACCAAUGAGAGCCCAGGAUAGGGACCAAUGAUAACCUAGGGGAGGGGCGUUUCCGGAACGGCCGCGCCGGUGGGGGCGGGACUUCUGGGGUCGGACCAUUGCUUCAUUGUACUGCCUUUAUGUCGGCACUUCGUGGAGGGACGUAGUUGCUGGGCUGUGGACAGCAUCCAGGAGGCUCCCCGCCCGCGGAAACGGGAGUAGGGUAGGUACGAGAACCUGGGAGGUCCAGCCGCUGUGCCUUGUACGCCCCAUGACCGCAGCGAACGUCCCGCCUCCCCGAGCUCGUGUGUCCUCGGCUGUCGGGGGACCGCCUGGCGCCGGGGUGCCUUGCGGUUAUCUCCGUCAAGGCCCGUCUGUGUCCGUGGCCGCCCCGGAGUCGUCGCCCUGUACGUUGUGUCCGCUUUACGGAGAAGAAGACCCAGGCUCAAAAGCCAGCCAUUCUGAGGUCUUGACCCAGCAUGUAGCUGGACUGCAGGCGUGAUAAGCGAGCCGAUCGACUAGGCACGGAUGAGGUAGAGUCUCCUGACCUCCACCUGGCUGGACUCCGAACCCCAGUGCCCCAAGUCCCUGACUCAGCCUCAGGCCUGGGUGUUCAGGACAGUGGAACGUUGACAGCCCGAGGAAGCCCGUGAACACCUGAGUCAGAUCACCUCCCUCUUCUGCUCCAAACCUUCCGUGGCUCCCACCACCCUCAGGCACAGAAAGACGGCUUCAUCUUCAGCUGGUGGCCACCCUGAGACGUGCCUGGGAUGAGGGACCUGCUUCCUUAUUCUCUCAGACCACUGUACCCCUGAGAUCAUCCACUUCCGCCUCAGGGGACACGGGUUCGAGCCCUGGUCUGGGAAGAUCCCAC